RNAcentral lists this ribosomal RNA (311 nucleotides) under uncultured bacterium. Its description in RNAcentral is "bacterial SSU rRNA". It matches the Rfam family "Bacterial small subunit ribosomal RNA", at positions 28 to 334 of the family's 1533-position model. The record is from RNAcentral.
GACGAACGCUGGCGGCGCGCCUAACACAUGCAAGUCGAACGAGCGAGAGAGAGCUUGCUUUCUCAAGCGAGUGGCGAACGGGUGAGUAACGCGUGAGACAUCCUGACGUUAGGGGGGGAUAACAGUCGGAAACGGCUGCUAAUACCGCAUAAUGCAUCAAUUUCGCAUGUUAUUGAUGCCAAAGGAGCAAUCCGCCUUUAGAUGAGCUCGCGUCUGAUUAGCUAGUUGGCGGGGUAACGGCCCACCAAGGCGACGAUCAGUAGCCGACCUGAGAGGGUGACCGGCCACAUUGGGACUGAGACACGGCCCAA